GGGUCAAACUCCCCAAAGGAUCAUCUUUAACCUAAUACAAGAGACUACAAUUAUAGAGCAAACCUUAGCUUUUUAUUCAAGCAAUUUUGUUCUUUCCCUUUGAUUAUUUGUGAGCUAAGAGAGGAGUGAAUUUGUCUAAAUCCCUUAGUACAAAUUCAUUGUUUGAUUACAGAAUCAACAAUCCUGAUUCUGAAAAUCACACAAUAAAUUUGUUUAAAGGGGAUAAACAAAUUUACUUAACUCUCUCGCUAUUUAGUGACCAAAGAUUCAAUGAAAAGAAGAACAAGGUUGCUUAGAGACAAAGUUAGGGUUUUUGAAAGGCCCCGAUCCGGACUGCCUAAAGUCCGGGCGAGUUCUCUCGACCCAAGCCACUAAGUGCCUCG
This 383-nucleotide small RNA is filed under the name Arabidopsis thaliana (thale cress). Its description in RNAcentral is "ATSL077280". The record is from RNAcentral. Lineage: Eukaryota; Viridiplantae; Streptophyta; Magnoliopsida; Brassicales; Brassicaceae.